Molecule: ribosomal RNA, 253 nt
Filed under: uncultured bacterium
Lineage: Bacteria
Description: partial 16S ribosomal RNA
Rfam family: Bacterial small subunit ribosomal RNA
Source: RNAcentral
UACGGAGGGUGCAAGCGUUAUCCGGAUUCACUGGGUUUAAAGGGUGCGUAGGUGGGUCUGUAAGUCAGUGGUGAAAUCUCCGGGCUUAACUCGGAAACUGCCAUUGAUACUAUAGGUCUUGAAUUUUCUGGAGGUUAGCGGAAUAUGUCAUGUAGCGGUGAAAUGCUUAGAGAUGACAUAGAAUACCGAUUGCGAAGGCAGCUUACUACACAGAUAUUGACGCUCAUGCACGAAAGCGUGGGGAUCAAACAGG